AUUAUCGUAGGGCUUCGGCCCUGUCGAGAUAGAACCCUUGCCUUUUUGAGUACCUUUCGUUUCCUCGGCAGGCUCGCCUGCCAAUGGGGACCACAAAAAACACUUUGCAGUACCUGUAACAGUCUGAACAAACAAAACAAAAAUUAAAACUUUCAACAACGGAUCUCUUGGUUCUGGCAUCGAUGAAGAACGCAGCGAAAUGCGAUAAGUAGUGUGAAUUGCAGAAUUCAGUGAAUCAUCGAAUCUUUGAACGCACAUUGCGCCCUUUGGUAUUCCUUAGGGCAUGCCUGUUCGAGCGUCAUUUAAACCUUCAAGCUAAGCUUGGUGUUGGGUGACUGUCCGCUUCACUGCGGACUCGCCUCAAAAUUAUUGGCGGCCGGUACAUUGGCUUCGAGCGCAGCAGAAACGCGAACUCGGGCCCGUCGUAUUGGCUCCCAGAAGCUAUCUUCACAAUUUUGACCUCGGAUCAGGUAGGGAUACCCGCUGAACUUAAGCAUAUCAAUAAGCGGAGGA
RNAcentral lists this ribosomal RNA (513 nucleotides) under uncultured Pleosporales. RNAcentral's name for it is "eukaryotic LSU rRNA". The stretch from base 148 to 301 matches the Rfam family "5.8S ribosomal RNA". Lineage: Eukaryota; Fungi; Ascomycota; Dothideomycetes; Pleosporales. The record is from RNAcentral.